GUCAUUGAAGAACUGUUAGACGAGUUGCAUGGUGCCUGUUGGUUCUCCAAACUAGAUCUGCAGGCAGGUUACCACCAAAUCAGGCUCGCUGAGGGGGAGGAGUACAAGACAGCAUUUCACACACACUCGGGCCAUUAUGAAUUCCGCGUGGUCUCUUUCGGGCUGGCAGGGGGACCGGGGACAUUCAACGGUGCGGUCACCAAUACCUUGCACCCCUUUCUACGCCACUGCGUACUGCUAUUCUUCGACGACAUCUUGGUCUUCAGCCGUACUCUACGCGACCAUAUCAAGCAUCUACGGCAAGUCCUCGAACUACUCCGCAGAGACCAGUGGAAGGUUAAAUUCAGCAAGUGUGCCUUCGGCCAA
This 366-nucleotide ribosomal RNA is filed under the name Triticum aestivum (bread wheat). Its description in RNAcentral is "partial small subunit ribosomal RNA". The record is from RNAcentral. Lineage: Eukaryota; Viridiplantae; Streptophyta; Magnoliopsida; Poales; Poaceae.